CUCAGGAUCUGCACGGCAGUCACCAUUGUCUUGACUUGGGAAAGAAUGUGACCCCCGCAGGUAAGGGGAAGAGCCAGGGUCUACGCUCAUCUUCUGAAGGUGUUUUUCACCUCUCCAAGUCCCAGUCACUUCAUUUCUUAGAUGGGAGUUAAUUUAGUCAACAAAUAUUGAUUGCCAUGUUCCUAUGUGUUGGACACUGGGGUUUAGUGGUGAGCUAGAUGGACACAGUCCCUGUUCUCACAAUGCUCUCUUUUAAAUAAGAGAGGUGAACAAGAAGUGAAUAAAUGAAUCUACGCACAGUGUGAUGGCUGUCAGCCAGAGAAAGGUGCUAUAAAGAAAGAUCCUUCAGUCAGGGGCUGCUGCUGAGCUUAUGAUGAUUUUUCUCCUUCUAAAGGUCAGUGACUCGUUGGGGCUGAUGAUGUCCCUGCCCUGGGCAGACAGGCAGGCCUUGCUCAUGAGUCUCUAUAUCACUCAGCUCCAGGAGACUCGGAAUCUCACCAGGACGCGUCCAUCACUCGCUCAUAGCUGGUACUUGGAAAUGAAAGAGACUCGCUGUGCAGUCCCAAUCAAUGUCCGUCGGCCGUCUCCGUCGAUAACUGCCGGGCGGUCCAAUCUUUCCCCUGAUAGAAGGGCGCCUGGGGGUCAGCCCGAAGAUGCUCUGGAAGGAAGAGGCGGCCAUUUGAUUCAGAGCCUCCUUGCUGGGCUGGAAUUAACCUGGCUCUUUCUCUAAUGAAACUGACUCCAAGGGUCCCUGUGUGCUAGAGAUUCGAUGGCCCUUAGGAGAAGCAAUGAUGAGAGGUAAUAUUAAAGCAGUGUACACAUGCAGCCUGGAAUUCCUAACCAUGCUGAUGAUGUUUUCAAGGUGCUUUGAGCCCCGUAGGAAGCAGCACCUGUCUGGCAUGUUGCUGAACGCACAGUAGAAACAGUGAAUGCAGGGGGAAUAGACCCUGGGCUGCCUUUGCUAUCUACUGAUGAAGAGAUCAGGCAUUAGGAAGCUUAGUGACUUAACCAUGAUGU
This 1017-nucleotide long non-coding RNA is filed under the name Pongo abelii (Sumatran orangutan). RNAcentral's name for it is "lincRNA". The record is from RNAcentral. Lineage: Eukaryota; Metazoa; Chordata; Mammalia; Primates; Hominidae.